ACCUCGGAGCCUGUCCGGCUCGGUCCAGCACCGCUGGGUGACGCCCAGGGUCCUCACGAGGCCUGCUCCCCAGGGUCGGGGGGAACCUUACGGGCGGCCGUGGACGGUGCUGGGGUCUGGCCUGGGUCUGGCUGGCCGUGUCCUGUGUGCCCCACGGCCCAGCAGGUCUCAGCAUGGAGAGCUGGGCGCACCGGCCCAGAGCCUGGGGGAUGCGCAGCACCCCUGCCCCGGGCUCUCCUGGCACUGGAUGCCUGGCCCACGGAGGUGGGGGGGCCACAGGCAGGGGCACGCUCCUCCACGCGGCCCACCUCAGAGAGAUGUGCCCCGGGGCCCCAGCUGGACCCGAGUGGCCGGGGUGGAGGUGGCGUCCCGACAGCCCUGGGAGGGUUGGGAGAGGACGGGACAGGACCCUUGGCCUCCCCUCCCACAGGAGGUUCAGGAUUGGGGUGGUCUGCUGGAGGCGGGUCCCAGGAACUUGACUCCUUCGGGAAAGCCCCGGGGUGGCGUCCACCUGGUGAUGCUGCAGGAGCAGGUGCCCAGGACCCAGGGGUCAAGGGCAGCAGCUUCUCUGGGCCAGGCCCGAGUGACAUUAGAUAACUGCCUCUCGCUCUUUGCUGGCAAGAGGGUCCCAGGUCCUCAGUUUCCCCACAGACACUUCCAACACACACCUCCAGAAAUCCCAGGAAGGACUCACGGGCAAGGAGCCGAGAUGUUCUUUCUAAAUGUUUUUAUUAGAGGGUCGGGCUGACAAAGAAAAAGAAACGUCAGGGGUUUUCUGCUGUAAGUUGAAUACGUUUCCAAACCUCACACGGAAUCAAACCGCACCAGAGAAGAGCAGCAGGGCCGGCGGCUUCCCCAACAUCAAGGAGGCCCCAGACCUGGUGCCACGCAGCCGCUGAAGCCAUAGCCUGAUGCCAAGAGGGCAGCUCAGCUGCGGCCCCAACCCGGAGCUCCCAGCAGGGCUUCGCCGUGACACCCACACCCACGUCAGCCACAGCGUCUGCAGCCUUGAUGGCCCGAGGGUCAUGAAGUGACAACCCGGAGCCACCGAUGCACACAGAUGUCAGGUCAAAGACCACGGAACACGCGUCACUCAACAAGAAAAAGCUGGCGGGUCAGUUUUUCCUGUGCUGGCCGCUCCUGGAGCAGUGAGGUCGGUGAACUGCCGACCCAGAGCUGGAAACACCUAGAAUGCCAGAUGCUGAGACCCCCUCGUCCGGCACAUGCUCCGUGACUCCUGGCAUCGAGCGCCCCACGCCUCCUCCAGUCACUGCCACCCCCGUCCUGGAGCAAGGUGACGACGGCUGACCGUCCUGUCUGAGCGUGGAAGCCUGUUUUGCAGUGGGAAACCUGCGCACUGACCUCCAGACGCAGGUGUGACACCUCACGGCCCUGGUGCUGCUUUACAGACGACUGACGCCCCCGCCCUCCCCAAGUCCGGCCAGUGCAGCAGGCGGGUUGGGCCGUUGCUGCCGGAUGCCCUGCCUCCCAUCCCCAAAGCAUCCUACCGCAGCAGUAAGAAAAAUGAUUUUGCCAAUUCUAAGGUCACGUUAAAAAAAUGUUUUUAUAAAAAGAGUACGGUUUACAACAACUGGAAACCAUGACAUCCCACAUUUCUAAGCUGCAGUGCUGGAAUCGUAGGACUUUAAAAAGCUAUUGUGUCGUAGAAAAAUAACUGUGCAGCUCAGUAAAAUGCAUGUUGUUCAGCUUCUCAACU
Molecule: long non-coding RNA, 1717 nt
Organism: Balaenoptera musculus (blue whale)
Lineage: Eukaryota; Metazoa; Chordata; Mammalia; Artiodactyla; Balaenopteridae
Exons: 2
Source: RefSeq, a predicted model, not a curated record